AAUGAAACAACAUUACAAAACAGGGAUCACCAGGUGCAAAUUCUCAAGGGCAGAAGGAACAAGGGCGUGAAAGGGGACAGCGAGGUGUGGGCUCCGAGCCUGAAGGAAGAGCAAGCAUAUGAAGCUGGAGUGGUGUCAGGGAACCACACCAUGGAGGACCCAGCAGCCAGUGUGUUUGCUGACACAAGAGUCCAGGAAGUGCAGGAGGAAAGAGAAGGAGGACAGCAAUCAGUCACAGCUCCUUCCAGCAUUCACACAGUGACUACCACUAAUUACGCCUCUCAGACCUGUGUUUGAGCAGACCUAUUUUCUCUAUGAAUUAAUGCCAAGUGACCUACUUUUCUACAUAUUAUUCAUUAUUUGUUCUGCUGUUUUAUCGAUUUUGAGACUGUUGUGCUACACAGGAAUAAAAAAAAAUCCAAUACAAUAAAACUCCUCUCAUUGAAAAUAAUAUAGCCACACCAUGAAAUAUAAAUUUAUUUUUUCUUUAUGAAAAGAUAGCAUCUGUAGACUACAUUUAGGCUGUGGGAAUUAGCUGAAGGCUGCUUCGUUGGAUUAAUAAAAACAAAAAGAAAUAUAAAUAUGUUAAUGUUUAGACAUGAAACCUAAGAUAAAAUAAUAGACUACAUUUCUAAGUUUUAAAACUUGUUUGCUUAUAAUAUUCUAGAGAUAUUUAUUUCAUAAAAGAGCACAAUGUUAGUUUUACAAGACUAUAUGUAUUUUCUAUUUAUAUUCCUCUUGU
Molecule: long non-coding RNA, 742 nt
Filed under: Homo sapiens (human)
Lineage: Eukaryota; Metazoa; Chordata; Mammalia; Primates; Hominidae
Description: HSALNT0064474
Source: RNAcentral